Molecule: transfer RNA, 90 nt
Filed under: Bacteroides sp.
Lineage: Bacteria; Pseudomonadati; Bacteroidota; Bacteroidia; Bacteroidales; Bacteroidaceae
Also listed under: 4 other names
Description: tRNA-Ser
Rfam family: tRNA
About the family: Transfer RNA (tRNA) molecules are approximately 80 nucleotides in length. Their secondary structure includes four short double-helical elements and three loops (D, anti-codon, and T loops).
Source: RNAcentral
GGAAGUUUGGGUGAGUGGCUGAAACCACCAGUUUGCUAAACUGACGUACUCGCAAGGGUACCGGGGGUUCGAAUCCCCCAGCUUCCGCAA